Molecule: ribosomal RNA, 497 nt
Filed under: uncultured bacterium
Lineage: Bacteria
Description: partial 16S ribosomal RNA
Rfam family: Bacterial small subunit ribosomal RNA
Source: RNAcentral
GAUGAACGCUGGCGGCGUGCCUAAUACAUGCAAGUCGAGCGAACGGACGAGAAGCUUGCUUGUCUGAUGUUAGCGGCGGACGGGUGAGUAACACGUGGAUAACCUACCUAUAAGACUGGGAUAACUUCGGGAAACCGGAUCUAAUACCGGAUAAGAUUUUGAACCGCAGGGUUCAAAAGUGAAAGACGGUCUUGCUGACACUGAUAGAUGGAUCCGCGCUGCAUUAGCUAGUUGGUAAGGUAACGGCUUACCAAGGCAACGAUGCAUAGCCGACCUGAGAGGGUGAUCGGCCACACUGGAACUGAGACACGGUCCAGACUCCUGCGGGAGGCAGCAGUAGGGAAUCUUCCGCAAUGGGCGAAAGCCUGACGGAGCAACGCCGCGUGAGUGAUGAAGGUCUUCGGAUCGUAAAGCUCUGUUAUUAGGGAAGAACAUAUGUGUGAGUAAAUGUGGACAUCUUGACGGUACCUAAAGAGAAAGCCACGGCUAACUACGUG